UAGAUUCAAUAGGUGAAACUAGUUUUCCAACCUUAGAAUCACUAUAUGUGACAAACCUUUCACGUUAUAUGAUAUUCAUACCUAAGUGUGUACAUGAGUGUAAUUAUUUAAUCAACACAAUAAUUAGAUCAUAGUAUAUUCACUUUACUCUCGAAGCAAUCUAAUUCACUUUACUCUUAAAACAAUCUCAUUGCGAACACACAAGUCUCAUUCACAUAGCAAAUUCUCAUGUUUUGCCCUACAAG
RNAcentral lists this unclassified non-coding RNA (245 nucleotides) under Hevea brasiliensis (rubber tree). The record is from RNAcentral. Lineage: Eukaryota; Viridiplantae; Streptophyta; Magnoliopsida; Malpighiales; Euphorbiaceae.